CAGCCGCCACGGGAAUACGAAGGGUGCAAGCGUUACUCGGAAUUACUGGGCGUAAAGCGUGUGUAGGUGGUUGUUUAAGUCUGUCGUGAAAGCCCUGGGCUCAACCUGGGAAUUGCGAUGGAUACUGGGCGACUAGAGUGCGGUAGAGGAUAGUGGAAUUUCCGGUGUAGCAGUGAAAUGCGUAGAGAUCGGAAGGAACAUCUGUGGCGAAGGCGACUAUCUGGGCCAACACUGACACUGAGGCACGAAAGCGUGGGGAGCAAACAGGAUUAGAUACCCCGGUAGUCCCUGUCUCUUAUAC
RNAcentral lists this ribosomal RNA (301 nucleotides) under uncultured bacterium. RNAcentral's name for it is "partial 16S ribosomal RNA". It matches the Rfam family "Bacterial small subunit ribosomal RNA", at positions 509 to 807 of the family's 1533-position model. The record is from RNAcentral.